RNAcentral lists this unclassified non-coding RNA (253 nucleotides) under uncultured Lysobacteraceae bacterium. RNAcentral describes it as "uncultured Xanthomonadaceae bacterium contains 16S-23S intergenic spacer region". It matches the Rfam family "Bacterial small subunit ribosomal RNA", at positions 524 to 776 of the family's 1533-position model. The record is from RNAcentral. Lineage: Bacteria; Pseudomonadati; Pseudomonadota; Gammaproteobacteria; Lysobacterales; Lysobacteraceae.
UACGAAGGGUGCAAGCGUUACUCGGAAUUACUGGGCGUAAAGCGUGCGUAGGUGGUUUGUUAAGUCCGAUGUGAAAGCCCUGGGCUCAACCUGGGAAUGGCAUUGGAUACUGGCAGGCCAGAGUGCGGUAGAGGGGUACGGAAUUCCCGGUGUAGCAGUGAAAUGCGUAGAUAUCGGGAGGAACAUCCGUGGCGAAGGCGACACCCUGGACCAGCACUGACACUGAGGCACGAAAGCGUGGGGAGCAAACAGG